UGUUUCGGCUUGUGGGCCUUCCCGUCUUACCAACCCGAUUCAUACUGCGAAUACCGGAGAAUGUUAUCACGGGUGACACACGGCGGGUGCUAUCGUCCGUCGUGAAGAGGGAAACAACCCAGACCGCCAGCUAAGGUCCCAAAGUCAUGGUUAAGUGGGAAACGAUGUGGGAAGGCCCAGACAGCCAGGAUGUUGGCUUAGAAGCAGCCAUCAUUUAAAGAAAGCGUAAUAGCUCACUGGUCGAGUCGGCCUGCGCGGAAGAUGUAACGGGGCUAAACCAUGCACCGAAGCUGCGGCAGCGACACUGUGUGUUGUUGGGUAGGGGAGCGUUCUGUAAGCCUGCGAAGGUGUCCCGUGAGGGAUGCUGGAGGUAUCAGAAGUGCGAAUGCUGACAUAAGUAACGAUAAAGCGGGUGAAAAGCCCGCUCGCCGGAAGACCAAGGGUUCCUGUCCUACGUUUAUCGGGGCAGGGUGAG
This 475-nucleotide ribosomal RNA is filed under the name Salmonella enterica subsp. enterica serovar Kentucky. RNAcentral describes it as "bacterial LSU rRNA". It matches the Rfam family "Bacterial large subunit ribosomal RNA", at positions 911 to 1383 of the family's 2925-position model. The record is from RNAcentral. Lineage: Bacteria; Pseudomonadati; Pseudomonadota; Gammaproteobacteria; Enterobacterales; Enterobacteriaceae.